UGCAACAGCGAAUGUGAGGGCGG
Molecule: non-coding RNA, 23 nt
Filed under: Mus musculus (house mouse)
Lineage: Eukaryota; Metazoa; Chordata; Mammalia; Rodentia; Muridae
Source: RNAcentral